GCAAAAGCGUGGCCAGGAGUCGGGGGAAGACGGGGGGGGUAAGAGUUAUCCGGAUUUAUUUGGUUGUAAGGGUCCUGAGGCGGACUUUUAAGUUAGGGGUGAAAGCCUGUCGAUUAACGAGAGAACUGCCAUUGAUACUGUAAGUCUUGAGUAUAGUUGAGGUAGCUGGAAUAAGUAGUGUAGCGGUGAAAUGCAUAGAUAUUACUUAGAACACCAAUUGCGAAGGCAGGUUACCAAGAUAUAACUGACGCUGAGGGACGAAAGCGUGGGGAGCGAACAGGAUUAGAUACCCGGGUAGUC
Molecule: ribosomal RNA, 300 nt
Filed under: uncultured Methanofollis sp.
Lineage: Archaea; Methanobacteriati; Methanobacteriota; Methanomicrobia; Methanomicrobiales; Methanomicrobiaceae
Description: bacterial SSU rRNA
Rfam family: Bacterial small subunit ribosomal RNA
Source: RNAcentral